Nicotiana attenuata is the source of this 94-nucleotide ribosomal RNA. It matches the Rfam family "Bacterial large subunit ribosomal RNA", at positions 1858 to 1999 of the family's 2925-position model. NCBI's taxonomy places the organism in Eukaryota, Viridiplantae, Streptophyta, Magnoliopsida, Solanales, Solanaceae. The record is from Rfam.
CCAUAACAAUGUCAUGGAUUCCAAAUAUUUGUAACUGUAACGGUCCUAAGGUAGCGAAAUUCCUUGUCGGGUAAGUUCCGACCCGCACGAAAGG